CCUAGGCCUCUAAUGAGUGUCCACGGGGGCCAUGUUAUCCUCAGUAAUGAGGCCCAGUGUUGGUUCUGAGCCUCCAGACUCCAGGCUGCUGCCAGUCCUCCUGGGGCAGAUCUUGGAGUCCAGGAGCUGUGUGUCUGUUUCUGAAUGGUGAAGGGUGGGAGGCAAGCCCUGCCUGGAAACAGCCCUGCUGGCAGAUGAGGGAUUGUGCUGUGAGGUUCUGCUGGGGGCUGCCGCUGGCUCCUGGGCUCAGUGACUACUUCAGGAGGGAAGCUGUUCGUUAUCCACAGCCUGAGCACUUGGCCUUUCAUACUCCAUUUUUAACUGCCAUCCAGCAACAGCUUUAUCAAGGCUUCAGCCAGUGUCUGCUGGGCUUGGUCCCUAGAAGCCUGCUCUUACCCAAUCAAAUUUUUCCUCAUAGCUCACCCCACUCUUGCCUUCAGGGCCUUACUGAAGACCGACUGAGAGCCAGGCAGCUGUCAAUCAUGUCUGAGAGCGUUUCUGCCACAUAUAGGGUUCUUCUGGUGAGAAGUUCUAGCAACCAGACUACAUCAUACUGACCCCUAUGGAAAUGAGGACUUAAUGUGCCACAGAUAACUGUCCCAUUUGAAGGUCCCAGCACUGACGUGGAGCUGGAUGGUAGAGGGCUGUUCUCAGUGGGAGCAGUCAGGGGUCUUUCUGGAAGGAUCUGAUGGCUAACGAGAUAGUUGGCACUUAAUGCAUUGUCCAUGCACUAAGUUGCUUUAUAUGUUGGGUUCCCCCCCCCCCCGACAUCUUCACAGAGGUGGGAUAGGCACUAACAGUAUCCCCGUUUUAUAGGUGAGGAGAAGGUGGCAUGUGUAAUGGAAGCUUCUAGAAUCAAUGGAGAACAGUGAGGAUUUGAGUAUUGGUCUUCUUUGGACACCUCUCUCUCUCUCUGCUCUGUGCCAUGACUCCCCAGAAGGAGGCCGUCAAAGCAGGGCACUUUAGCAUCCAGAUAAGAAUGCAUGAGAGCCAAGCCAGACCACACCUGGCUUUUCUUUGUGUGUUACUAGGCUGUACCAUCUGCUUGCCCACAGGUGCUUAGGUGGGAGAGGUUGGCAAUGAGGUCCCUAUGACUGCCCCCACACACCCUACUUGGUAGCUAUCCUAGGGCCUCAACAAGGCUAAGGAAGACUGAGACAGAACACACAGGGCUUGCGUUGGAGUUUGGUUGCCUGCGUGUCUAACGUGUCUCUCCUUUCUCUGCUCUGUGCUGCAGGGACUCAGACCCUUCAGGUAGCCCAGUCUCAGGUUGCUUUGCCCGAUGCUUCUGCCAGAGGGAGGUCUAUUAGAAGGUGGUGGGAUCAUGAGAGGCGAGAAACCCAGACAUCUCUAACUCUUCUUGCCAACUCAGGAGCCACCUGUGGCCCCAGCUGGCCACCAGCCGUUCCUCCCUCAGAGGCCUCCAUUUCCACAAAAGGCCUUCCUGGUUGUUCAGGACAGAGCCUGGUUUCCCUGAUACCCCUUCUCUCAGUGGCCACUGAAGUUACAGGGAUGCAGCCAGCCGUGGUUGCCAUGUCUGUAUAUGCUAAUCUCCGAAUUCCACUUCCUGUUUAGAUUCUCAGCAGUUCUCCCGUGCUGGGCUCCAAUCGCUCAAAUUAAAAUUCUUUUUGUUGUUGUUGUUUAAUACUUGAAACUGGGUUUGUUUGCCUGACUUGGUCCUGGAUGAUUAAAACCCUCUAAACAAGGAUAUGUAACAGUGUCCCUGUUUGAGACCGACUCUUUGGAAGACUUCUAGCAAUCAUGACAUCUGAGCUUGCAGAAAAGAAAACCAGAAAUGUCAGGCCUGGCUAAGCACUGGCUUCUUGGGUAACCUCUGCUUUUGAAGACCCCCUACCCCCAUCCCCCGUCUCCAUAGCUUUAAGAGAAGGUAGAGCGAACAUCCUGGGCAGGUCUCCUUCCAGGAGGCAGAAAGCUGGACUCCAAGUCUGGAGCAUGGGGGCUUCUCUGUGCUGAUAGUACGCAGAGGGAUUAGGAGGAGAGAGGGAGAUCGUCUGUUUCUCUGGAGCCAGGUCCACACGAAGAAAAUGAUUCUACUCCUCUGCUGCGGCUCACCUGGCUCUCCGUCGCUCACUUGGGCUGCUUCUUUCCCACCGGAGUAAGCGAUUGGAAAGCAAAGGAGGAUUUGCUGAUGUGCUGAGUCCUCCAGCACAGUGCCUUCGAGGCUCAGAGGCUGCUUGCUCUUCAGGGGAGCUCGGAGACCCAGCUAUUCCCCAGUCUACCCUAGAGUCAGUGAUUUCAUCACUGACUCCAAAGCUCAGAGGUGACUUACCAGGGUCACAUAAUCAAUCUCCGGCACAACCAGCCACAACCUCAGAUGGAUGGAUGGAUGGAUGGAUGGAUGGAUGGAUGAGUCAAAGCCCAAGAGCCACAGUGAGGUGCCUCAGGGACUGACUGCAUACACAGAGCUGGGUGGCUCAAGUUCUGUCAAGUUGGAAAAACACGAGGAGAGAGCCCUGGUUGGUUGGCUCCAGGUGUCCUGGAUCUCAGGGGAGAUCCCUCACAGGCUGGAGUGAGUUCAGAGGUAAAGCAGGGCCCAGAGCAUCGGGCCAAGGAGAGCAAUGGUCACAGGCAUUGGAGAGAGGACACAGGGAAUGGGAAUGAUCAUGCAGCUUCCCUCCAACAGAGCAAGGGUGAAAAACCAGGUUUGCUCCUUUCGCUGUAGAAUGGGCAUCCAGAAGAACAAGGAGCCAUAGGGCAAGAAGGGAACCAAUGUAGGGCUAUCAUGGGCUAAAGAAUGGAGAGGUAUUUGGCUCAUGGUUCAAGAGACUUGAAGUCCAGUAGCCGGAUACAUACUCCUGUGCCUCCAACCCUCUUCAGUUACAUUGACUGUGUCAGCCCCGCAAGAGUCUACACAGCUGGCUGUGGAGCCAGGAAGGAGUGAAUUCUGCACUCUCAGCCACAUGGGAACAUUGGCAGACUCCAUCUUGUGGGAUCACUUGUGAAGCCUUUCUCACGCCACAGCAGCAUCCCUAGCUCCCAUGAUGCUCCUCACCUGCAUCACCUGCAUCUUCCCUCUGAACCCGGUGUCACGGCAAAUAUGUCUUUCUCACAUGGCCACUAAUAUAAAAAGUGUUUUCCUCCUCCUUCAGUCCCAGGGGGAGCUGGAUCCCCGAAAUGAGGCCGUGAUGGGAAGAUGAGAAAUCCGGCUUGCUGAGUGAGCCCUCCGAGUGGUUUUCCAGGAGCUCUGUGGGACCGCAAACCUCCUGAGCUAUAAAUCGCUAGCCCAGCCCAGUGAAGUUGUCAUCCAGUGGCUUGCCCACUGACAUGGCUGGUUUCUUUCUGGUUGCUCUCGACCCCCACGUGCCCCUGCUGUGCCAUUUGCUGAAGGCUUACUUCAGGACCAGCAACUACUGGUACUCUCUUGGCUGCUGUUGGCCACCGGGUCCAGAGCGUAAACACAAAACUCCGCUGUGGGUCUCUCUGCAGCACAGACUCAUCUUGCAGAGCUUCGGUGGUUUUAGGUGAGACCCAGGGCAAGCUUUCUAUCUGCAGGUUUGCUUCUAACACCUUUAAAUACAGCCUUCAGCUGUUGGUUCUUGGCGGGCAUUCAGUGCAAACCCCUGUUCUGCCUGGCAAUGUAGAGACUCUGGGUGAAAUGCCGACAGCAAGACUUGGCAAGUGUUACGUAUAAUUUGGCUUUUCUUCCUGUCACCUGUGUGCCCCUAACCCAAACACAACCAUAUAAGGUUUGAAGACAAAUGGGGUUUGGAGAAUCAAAUUUUCCCCUUAUCUCUGAUAUUUACAUAUAGUUUUAGGCAUCAUUUAACGGGAGGGCCACGGACUGAGGGAUGUUUGGUAGUGAAUGUUAUGUGGACAUCAGAAGGUGCUGGAAGAAGCUAAGACCCAGCUUCAUUAGAUAAUAAAACUUUAUGGGCGUGGUCUCUCUGUCA
Long non-coding RNA from Mus musculus (house mouse), 3911 nucleotides. RefSeq annotates it as predicted gene, 31657. The transcript is spliced from 8 exons. The record is from RefSeq and is a predicted model, not a curated record. NCBI's taxonomy places the organism in Eukaryota, Metazoa, Chordata, Mammalia, Rodentia, Muridae.